This 451-nucleotide ribosomal RNA is filed under the name uncultured organism. RNAcentral describes it as "partial 16S ribosomal RNA". It matches the Rfam family "Bacterial small subunit ribosomal RNA", at positions 329 to 797 of the family's 1533-position model. The record is from RNAcentral.
ACGUACACUCCUGCGGGAGGCAGCAGUGGGGAAUAUUGGACAAUGGGCGAAAGCCUGAUCCAGCAAUGCCGCGUGAGUGAUGAAGGCCUUAGGGUUGUAAAGCUCUUUUACCCGGGAUGAUAAUGACAGUACCGGGAGAAUAAGCCCCGGCUAACUCCGUGCCAGCAGCCGCGGUAAUACGGAGGGGGCUAGCGUUGUUCGGAAUUACUGGGCGUAAAGCGCGCGUAGGCGGCUUUGUAAGUUAGAGGUGAAAGCCCGGAGCUCAACUUCGGAAUUGCCUUUAAGACUGCAUCGCUAGAAUCGUGGAGAGGUGAGUGGAAUUCCGAGUGUAGAGGUGAAAUUCGUAGAUAUUCGGAAGAACACCAGUGGCGAAGGCGACUCACUGGACACGUAUUGACGCUGAGGUGCGAAAGCGUGGGGAGCAAACAGGAUUAGAAACCCCUGUAGUCCC